This 633-nucleotide ribosomal RNA is filed under the name uncultured marine eukaryote. RNAcentral describes it as "SSU rRNA". It matches the Rfam family "Eukaryotic small subunit ribosomal RNA", at positions 620 to 1257 of the family's 1831-position model. The record is from RNAcentral.
UUAAAAGCUCGUAGUUGGAUUUCUGUCGAGGACGACCGGUCCGUACUUUGUGCGUGUAUCUGGUUCGGCCUUGGCAUCCUCUCGGGGAACGUCUCUGUGUUUAAUUACAUGGGGCGGUAUUCGGGACUUUUACUUUGAGGAAAUUAGAGUGUUCACGGCAGGCUUUCGCCUUGAAUACAUUAGCAUGGAAUAAUAAUAUAGGACCUUGGUACUAUUUUGUUGGUUUCUAGAACUAAGGUAAUGAUUAAUAGGGAUAAUUGGGGGCAUUCGUAUUAACGCGUCAGAGGUGGAAUUCUUGGAUUGCGUUACGACGAACUACUGCGAAAGCAUUUGCCAAGGAUGUUUUCAUUGAUCAAGAACGAAAGUUAGGGGAUCGAAGAUGAUUAGAUACCGUCGUAGUCUUAACCAUAAACUAUGCCAACUAGAGAUUGGUGGUCGUUCUAUUUAUGACUCCAUCAGCACCUUAUGAGAAAUCAAAGUCUUUGGGUUCCGGGGGGAGUAUGGUCGCAAGGCUGAAACUUAAAGGAAUUGACGGAAGGGCACCACCAGGAGUGGAGCCUGCGGCUUAAUUUGACUCAACACGGGAAAACUUACCAGGUCCAGACAUAGUAAGGAUUGACAGAUUGAUAGCUC